CCUCAUUGUCAUGUGUUCCUUGAACACGUGACGAUGUGAAAUUUAAAUUUGUCAAAUCAUUAAAUGGCAUCAUGUGAUCUCUGUUUGUUUCACUUGUUGUCUGAGGUUGUUUUCCCCUUUCUUUUGAUUGUCUAUAAUUUGUUCGUCUUCUAGACAAUUCUUGUUCUCUUUGCUCGGUGCUUAUAUUUUGCCUCCGAUUUCUUGCAUUUUGAGUUCGUCUUUCCCUUUGCAGAUCCCUUGACUGUUGCCCGCGAUUAUUUUCCAUCUUAUUUUGAUG
RNAcentral lists this long non-coding RNA (277 nucleotides) under Medicago truncatula (barrel medic). RNAcentral's name for it is "long non-coding RNA (MTRU_LNC007649)". Lineage: Eukaryota; Viridiplantae; Streptophyta; Magnoliopsida; Fabales; Fabaceae. The record is from RNAcentral.